This 66-nucleotide transfer RNA is filed under the name Penicillium nalgiovense. Its description in RNAcentral is "tRNA-Thr". It matches the Rfam family "tRNA". From Rfam's summary of the family: Transfer RNA (tRNA) molecules are approximately 80 nucleotides in length. Their secondary structure includes four short double-helical elements and three loops (D, anti-codon, and T loops). Further hydrogen bonds mediate the characteristic L-shaped molecular structure. tRNAs have two regions of fundamental functional importance: the anti-codon, which is responsible for specific mRNA codon recognition, and the 3' end, to which the tRNAs corresponding amino acid is attached (by aminoacyl-tRNA synthetases). tRNAs cope with the degeneracy of the genetic code in two manners: having more than one tRNA (with a specific anti-codon) for a particular amino acid; and 'wobble' base-pairing, i.e. permitting non-standard base-pairing at the 3rd anti-codon position. Lineage: Eukaryota; Fungi; Ascomycota; Eurotiomycetes; Eurotiales; Aspergillaceae. The record is from RNAcentral.
GCUCGCAUGGCUUAGUGGUAAAGCGCAUGACUAGUAAUCAUGAGAUCCUCGGUUCGACUCCGAGUG